AGCGAACGCUGGCGGCAGGCUUAACACAUGCAAGUCGAGCGGGCGUAGCAAUACGUCAGCGGCAGACGGGUGAGUAACGCGUGGGAACAUACCUUUUGGUUCGGAACAACACAGGGAAACUUGUGCUAAUACCGGAUAAGCCCUUACGGGGAAAGAUUAUCGCCGAAAGAUUGGCCCGCGUCUGAUUAGCUAGUUGGUGAGGUAACGGCUCACCAAGGCGACGAUCAGUAGCUGGUCNGAGAGGAUGAUCAGCCACAUUGGGACUGAGACACGGCCCAAACUCCUACGGGAGGCAGCAGUGGGGAAUAUUGGACAAUGGGCGAAAGCCUGAUCCAGCCAUGCCGCGUGAGUGAUGAAGGACCCUAGGGUUGUAAAGCUCUUUUAUCCGGGACGAUAAUGACGGUACCGGAGGAAUAAGCCCCGGCUAACUUCGUGCCAGCCGCCGCGGU
RNAcentral lists this ribosomal RNA (449 nucleotides) under uncultured bacterium. Its description in RNAcentral is "bacterial SSU rRNA". It matches the Rfam family "Bacterial small subunit ribosomal RNA", at positions 29 to 521 of the family's 1533-position model. The record is from RNAcentral.